This 333-nucleotide unclassified non-coding RNA is filed under the name soil metagenome. RNAcentral describes it as "partial contains 5.8S ribosomal RNA, internal transcribed spacer 2, and large subunit ribosomal RNA". The stretch from base 1 to 120 matches the Rfam family "5.8S ribosomal RNA", at positions 35 to 154 of the family's 154-position model. The record is from RNAcentral.
GAUGAAGAACGUAGCGAAAUGCGAUAAGUAAUGUGAAUUGCAGAAUUCAGUGAAUCAUCGAAUCUUUGAACGCACAUUGCGCCCGCCAGUAUUCUGGCGGGCAUGCCUGUCCGAGCGUCAUUUCAACCAUCAAGCCCCGGGCUUGUGUUGGGGACCUGCGUCCCACGCAGGCCCCGAAAACCAGUGGCGGGCUCGCUGUCCACACCGAGCGUAGUAGCUAACCUCGCUCCGGAGUGGCGCGGGCGCCUGCCGUAAAACCCCCCAAUUUUACAAGGUUGACCUCGGAUCAGGUAGGAAUACCCGCUGAACUUAAGCAUAUCAAUAAGCGGAGGA